CUGGGUUUAUUAUUUUCUAUUUUGUUAAACACAGAGAAUCUUUCACUCUUCUCUUAAAAUUUCUUUAGAAAAUAAUAGAGGUUUUCCCACCACUAUUUUUUGUAGCCAAACAAGUCCCAGCUACCUACCGUGUGGGAGGAGAGAAUCUAAAAUGUAAACAGGUUAAUGCUACACCAUGACAUCUGGCAGUGAUGAAGCAGAAAGAAAGAUGGUUGGAACGAUGCUGAUGAAAUGUUGCUUCAAAUCAGAGGAGAAAAAGUUGUUCAACUUGAUCCCUAGACUUCUGAAGUCUGUGAGAGUCUUGCUUUGGCAUCAGAAAACUUUAGACCAGUUGUGCCAGUUCAUCAAGAGAAGGACCCUAUCCUUUGAAUUUAUCAGUGCCCAGUGAACAAGGUAAGUUGCUGGGUCAGGGACAGAUGGUUCAACUGAGUUCAUAACUGUUCUAAACUACACAACUUGCUCAAAUGGUGGUUCUAUGAAUACGAAAAGAUAGUAAGUGAAAUUAAAACUCUGAAACUAUGCAAUUAAUUUCUGUUCUGGAGAACUAAGGUACUCCAAAAAGAAUGAGUUCUCAAGUACUGAGGUGACCAACAUUUCUAAAAUACACCAGCACGCAAGCUUUUGCUGAGUAAACUAUAAACUCCCACUCUAUUGCAGAAUGACUGUCAGUUCCUGCCUCAUAACAUCUGAACACCAUUUUUUUUUUCAAAGAGUUAAUCAAAGUACACCACCAAGAAUAAGUAAUUCCAAGAAGUGCCAUCAACGAACUCACUUGAACCCAGCUGAGGUGCUGCCCUACAACUUCAAACAAAUGCACCACUUAUGCCUAGCACUCUCCCGUUCCUCCCUGUCCACCACACCUCUGUGACAAGUAUAUAUAGAAAAGUCUAGAGAAAGACUGACACUAAAAAUGUAGCAUUCCUUUCUCAAUGUGCUAAUCUUGUUUUUGCUUUUAGUAACAGUGGCUGGUAUACAAGUUUGCAGUUUUCUGUUCCUGGCUUGAUUUUAGACCACUUAUGGCUAAGGGCCAUGGAUAUUACUAUGAAAUAGUAGUUUUAAUUUGUUCAUUUUUAACAUGUACUUUUUUUCUGGACUUUUAAAAUUAAAUGAAAAUUUCUCUGCCCACAGACAAGCUGUAGUAACUUUCAGUGGGAAAAUAACUUUCUGUCAGCAUUUUUUUGCAUUUCUUCUCUUAAAAAAACCCAUGGCAUGAAAAAAGCUGCAAACUCCACGGUUGCUUGCAAGAAAAAGAAAUUGUAAUUGAUUCCUACAACUGAGAAAAAAUUCUUUGAUAUUUGCACUAUUCACAAGGAGUUCAUCAGUGAAACAACAGCACAUCCUGGGAAGCACACUCCAACAUUGUCAAAGCUUUUUAUAGUAAAAUAGUCUAAGGGUAAAGGAUUCAUGUAAGUGAACAAGAAUGUAACUCAUACAUUAAUCAGUGAUUGUGAAUCAAAAUUAUUCUGGGUAAUUAAGUAACUCUGAAGGUGUUUAAGUACACUAAAAUAAAAAAAAAAAAACCUAAGACA
Molecule: long non-coding RNA, 1529 nt
Filed under: Junco hyemalis (dark-eyed junco)
Lineage: Eukaryota; Metazoa; Chordata; Aves; Passeriformes; Passerellidae
Description: lncRNA (ENSJHYG00000007120.1)
Source: RNAcentral